GGGGUAGCUCAAGGGUAGAGCAUGGCAUUGUCGUUGUAGGUCGCAGGUUCGACUCCUGCUCCUGAGCA
Molecule: transfer RNA, 68 nt
Filed under: Sphingobacterium athyrii
Lineage: Bacteria; Pseudomonadati; Bacteroidota; Sphingobacteriia; Sphingobacteriales; Sphingobacteriaceae
Description: Sphingobacterium sp. M46 tRNA-Asp
Source: RNAcentral